Molecule: ribosomal RNA, 468 nt
Filed under: uncultured bacterium
Lineage: Bacteria
Description: partial 16S ribosomal RNA
Rfam family: Bacterial small subunit ribosomal RNA
Source: RNAcentral
GACGAACGCUGGCGGCGUGCUUAACACAUGCAAGUCGAACGGAAAGGCCCUGCUUUUGUGGGGUGCUCGAGUGGCGAACGGGUGAGUAACACGUGAGUAACCUGCCCUUGACUUUGGGAUAACUUCAGGAAACUGGGGCUAAUACCGGAUAGGAGCUCCUGCUGCAUGGUGGGGGUUGGAAAGUUUCGGCGGUUGGGGAUGGACUCGCGGCUUAUCAGCUUGUUGGUGGGGUAGUGGCUUACCAAGGCUUUGACGGGUAGCCGGCCUGAGAGGGUGACCGGCCACAUUGGGACUGAGAUACGGGCCAGACUCCUACGGGAGGCAGCAGUGGGGAAUAAUGCACAAUGGGCGGAAGCCUGAUGCAGCAACGCCGCGUGCGGGAUGACGGCCUUCGGGUUGUAAACCGCUUUCGCCUGUGACGAAGCGUGAGUGGCGGUAAUGGGUAAAGAAGCACCGGCUAACUACGUG